AGAGUUUGAUCCUGGCUCAGGAUGAACGCUAGCGGCAGGCUUAACACAUGCAAGUCGAGGGGCAGCAUGUCCAGCAAUGGAUGAUGGCGACCGGCGGAAGGGUGCGUAACGCGUGAGCAACAUGCCCUAUACAGGGAGAUACACCAGGGAAACUUGGUCUAAUAUCCCAUAGCAUUCAUUGAAGGCAUCUUUAAUGAAUUAAAGCUUCGGUGGUAUAGGAUUGGCUCGCGUGACAUUAGCCAGAUGGUGAGGUAACGGCUCACCAUAGCAAUGAUGUCUAGGGGUUUUGAGAGGAAGGCCCCCCACACUGGGACUGAGACACGGCCCAGACUCCUACGGGAGGCAGCAGUGAGGAAUAUUGGACAAUGGAUGGAAAUCUGAUCCAGCCAUGCCGCGUGCAGGAAGACGGCCUUAUGGGUUGUAAACUGCUUUUAUACGGGAGCAAUAAGGGUUACGAGUAAUCCGAUGAGAGUACUGUAUGAAUAAGGAUCGGCUAACUCCGUGCCAGCAGCCGCGGUAACACGGAGGAUCCGAGCGUUAUCCGGAUUUAUUGGGUUUAAAGGGUACGCAGGCGGUCCUUUAAGUCAGAUGUGAAAUCUUACGGCUCAACCGUAAUUAGCAUUUGAAACUGGAGGACUUGAGUUAAGGAGAGGAAAGUGGAAUUCCUAGUGUAGCGGUGAAAUGCGUAGAUAUUAGGAGGAAUACCAGUGGCGAAGGCGACUUUCUGGACUUAUACUGACGCUGAGGUACGAAAGCGUGGGGAGCAAACAGGAUUAGAUACCCUGGUAGUCCACGCUGUAAACGAUGAGUGCUAGGUGUCGGGGGUCAAACCUCGGUGCCGGAGUUAACGCAUUAAGCACUCCGCCUGGGGAGUACGUACGCAAGUAUGAAACUCAAAGGAAUUGACGGGGACCCGCACAAGCAGCGGAGCAUGUGGUUUAAUUCGAAGCAACGCGAAGAACCUUACCAGGUCUUGACAUGCCAUUGACCGUCUUAGAGAUAAGAUUUUCCCUUCGGGGACAAUGGACACAGGUGGUGCAUGGUUGUCGUCAGCUCGUGUCGUGAGAUGUUGGGUUAAGUCCCGUAACGAGCGCAACCCCUAUUUUUAGUUGCUAGCAGGUUAAGCUGAGCACUCUAAAGAGACUGCCGAUGAUAAAUCGGAGGAAGGUGGGGAUGACGUCAAAUCAUCAUGCCCUUUAUGACCUGGGCUACACACGUGCUACAAUGGUCGGUACAACGAGCAGCUACCUAGUGAUAGGAUGCUAAUCUCUUAAAGCCGAUCCCAGUUCGGAUUGUAGGCUGCAAUUCGCCUACAUGAAGUCGGAGUUGCUAGUAAUCGCGGAUCAGAAUGCCGCGGUGAAUGCGUUCCCGGGUCUUGUACACACCGCCCGUCAAG
This 1396-nucleotide ribosomal RNA is filed under the name uncultured bacterium. RNAcentral describes it as "partial 16S ribosomal RNA". It matches the Rfam family "Bacterial small subunit ribosomal RNA". The record is from RNAcentral.